Molecule: regulatory RNA element, 125 nt
Organism: Streptococcus uberis 0140J
Lineage: Bacteria; Bacillati; Bacillota; Bacilli; Lactobacillales; Streptococcaceae
Rfam family: Ribosomal protein L20 leader
About the family: This family is a putative r-protein leader autoregulatory structure found in B. subtilis and other low-GC Gram-positive bacteria. It is located in the 5' untranslated regions of mRNAs encoding initiation factor 3 followed by ribosomal proteins L35 and L20 (infC-rpmI-rplT).
Source: Rfam
UGAGAAAAGUAGAAGUGAGAGCUUCUCGCCUUGCGACUUAGGUUGUCUGGCCCAACAUGUCAAAAUCCAAUUUGGAUAUUUAUGUGUGCGGGCUUGAUUUAUCAAGUCCGCUUUCGUUUUUCUCU